This is a long non-coding RNA of Lycium ferocissimum, 536 nucleotides long. RefSeq lists it as uncharacterized. The record is from RefSeq and is a predicted model, not a curated record. Lineage: Eukaryota; Viridiplantae; Streptophyta; Magnoliopsida; Solanales; Solanaceae. The transcript has 2 exons.
UAAAUAAUGUCAAAAAAAAAAAGUGUAGACUUUGUAUUCUUAGCAAACACUAAUAUAAUAAAGUUUUAGAUACGGAGCACAAAUUACAAUGUUAUAUCAAUCGUGUUUUGAACAUAAUAUAUAUAAAAAAAAAAAAAAUUGGGCCCCAUAUUAAACAGACCCAUUAAAAACAAAUUGUAAAAAAAAAAUUGUGGGCCCUAUAUGUAUUAAACAACAACUAAUAUUAAAAAAAAUGUGGGCCCCAUAUUAAACACCAUCCAGUAUUAAAAAAAAAAAUGAAACCCACCACAUCCAAACUCACGGGAAAAAAAAAAGUGAACCCCAUAUUAACAAAAUCAAGCAAUAUUGAAAAAAAAAGGUGAAUCCCAUAUUUAAAAAAUAAAUAAUGUUAAAAAAAAAUGUGGGCCCCAUAUUAAACACCAUGCGUAUUCGUAGCAAACACUAAUAUAAUAAAAUUUUAAAUACGAAGCACAAACUAAAAUGUUAUAUUACUCGUGUUUUGAACAUAAUAUCCCAUAUUGACAAAAUCAAGCUAU